GGAGGACAAUGAUAUGGCACAUGGGAUUCCCUUUGUCAUCCUAUGCCUGGGAAUAAUGGAGAGGCAGGGACAGCAAAGGGAUGCUCAAUUGUCAUCUCCUAC
Non-coding RNA from Pelobates cultripes (western spadefoot toad), 102 nucleotides. Lineage: Eukaryota; Metazoa; Chordata; Amphibia; Anura; Pelobatidae. The record is from the annotation of a GenBank genome assembly.